CUGUUUCAUGUACUACUGUCACGAUAUAGCGACCGUUUUAUAAAAACAACUUUUUUUAAUCAUAUUUGCUCCAAUCUCACCUACUUCAACUUUAUUGCCAUGUUUGUUUUACAUCUUUUAUAUAUUACGUACACUGAGGGUUAGGAGCACUCCCCCCAGCCUGAUCUCACAGAAAUACGUGUUAAUGACUACAACCUUGCUUUACAUUGUGGUGGUGGCACGUAAUGUUUUAAAAUUACGUACCGGUCCCACAUUAAUAAUGCAUAUGAAAAUCCAAUUAGGAUUCUUUGUUGUGGAGGACACACAAAUUCCCAGGUUCAACAGAAAUACGUUUUAAUCAAAGUCCACCUAGGGAUGAGGUUGGGGUGGAUGGACGGGUCAAACAUAACAUUUUCACCCAGGAGAAAAGUGUUCGUGUCCAGUGUGAAACCAAAAGCUAACAUUGACUUAUUUUAAAUUAUGUAGGCUACGUAAGUUACGUAACCUUUUUUCCUUUAUUUCCUAAACCUAACAAAGUACAGUGGAAACAGCUUAUAGUGGUCGCAUAUCUCCUGGUCAAAUUGAUCACUAUAAGCGGAUGAUCAUUAUAACCAAAUAUUUGUUGUUGUGCAUCAUUCCUCAUGCAGAUUACCAUCUAAUUAACAUUUGUAUAUUUAUUACAUGAAUACAAAUUCAUGAAAUAAACCGCUUUGCUAUUUACUGGCUCGUUGCCAGUUCUUCUGCCUUUUGGCCCCUUUGCUGGGGCUCCUCCUUCUCUCACCUAGUAGCGGCAUGGAGGGAGACGGGCACCACUGGUCUGCAUGAGUGCCGCAGAGCCGGUUGAGGAUCGGCAAAGUUUCACUUUGGGGGCAUUACGUGACAUUAUCAAUCCACUUGAAUCAAUCCAAAACAAAACAAAAGUCAAUUAGCGUUAGUCUAUUGUUUUUCAAUAUGUUGUCAUGAAUGGAGACUGAAAAUGAACACUGUGAGCGAACUACUUGAUUUCUAUAAGCGAAUUAUUUAAACAGCAUUUGUAUAGGAAUGAUUCUGUCCCAAGCUUUUUGAUCCCUGUAACCGUGGUCACCAUAAGCGUCUUGGUGAAUAACAAGCUGUAAAAGUGUUUGAUAUUUUCUGUGGUUCUGCAGGAGCUUUGUGAAGUCUGAGAAAAUAACCCGUAUGAUGUCAUAAUGAUGUCAUCAGGGUCACCUCAGCUUGCGCUUGAGACUUUGAGAUUUCUUGAAUAUUCUUGAGACUUUGACAUUUUUAAAAUGAAAUGUUACAAUCCAUGGACCUUGAGUUGACACCUAGCAGGAUGGUCAAAUAAAAGAUGCUACCGAGUUGCAUGGUGGGAAUUGUAGGAUCCAUUAUCUUUGGAGUUUGAACCAAACUCGAGA
Sebastes umbrosus (honeycomb rockfish) is the source of this 1373-nucleotide long non-coding RNA. RefSeq lists it as uncharacterized. The record is from RefSeq and is a predicted model, not a curated record. Lineage: Eukaryota; Metazoa; Chordata; Actinopteri; Perciformes; Sebastidae. The transcript has 2 exons.